CUCGGUUUCUUGUCGUCUCGUCUCAUCGAGAAACCGGCAACUGGCAAAAGUUGUCUUGCUUUUCUUGUCAUGGCAACCGUAACGGUCGUUAUCACAUACAAGAUAUUUUUUUAUACGUGUGUUAUUAAACAUCAUUUAUCUCGCAUUUGCUCCUCUUGUGAAGAAGCAACGCUAUUUAAGCAAAGAAGAAGAAGAACGACAACCGGCAAUCAUUUUAUGAUCUCGUCUACUUUUUACUUCCAAAGAAUGUUUUUUGUGCGCAUUUGUUGCAGUAGAAUACGUGAUAAGUAGACUUAUAAAAUUGUACAUAUAUAUAUUGUAGAUGACGUAGCUUUGAUAGAUUGUGAUGAGAAAAGGAGGUUGAUAUAAAUAAAAGAUAGAAAUCAUUAUUUUAUAACAUAGUUGUACAAUCUAAUCUACUGCCGCAGCUGUCUCUACCAUUGUCUCUACAACGUUUUCAACGAACAUUUUUCAGCAUUUCGACAAUGAAACAGAUGAAUUUUGGAUCUCUUCAAAUAACAACAGCUUCUCGAAGAUUCGAGAGAAUUAUGAGAUUUACUGUAAAUAAACUUAUAACCUGGAGUAUCAAUUUACCGCAGUUAAAUAUCUACAAAUAACAACAGCUUCUCGAAUACACGGAUUCAAGAGAAUUACUAUACUGGAAAUAAACUUUGUAUAUAUAGAACAUCAACUCGCCGCAGUUAAAAAUGGAAAAACCGACAUGGACAGUAGUUCAGUUUUCGGCAGAUAACACUGUUGAAGCAGUACCAUCUGGCUGGAAAAAACACGAUAAAUGUUAUUGGCCUCCAUUUAAGUAUGAACAAGUUAUCGCUGCAAUUCGGAAAAAUGUGGAACGAAAUACAUAUGUUGGCCAUCUUAUAGCAUUAGUACGUUUUGGAAUAGCACAUAUGAGAACAAAAUAGUAAAAAGAAACUAGGAUAGCAGACAAACACUAUUCUAGUGAAGAGUUUUCUGAAGAGUCUCUGGCAGCACACUUCCGGAAUCUCCGCAAAUGACAAAUAUGGAAUCUAUGAAUAUUAAGAAAAAGUUACAUGUAAAUACAAAUGGAUCCAAAGUAAUUGAAAGAACUCCAAGUACGUCAACACAUAACUUGCCAAAUAAUAGUUAUAAUAUAUGCGAUGACGCUUAUAUGAGUAAUGCUUCUUUUUUAUCUAUUCAAAAUGAUAGUGAUAAUCCAAAGUAUUUCAAAGAAAUUAUUCGCCAGCAAAGUUUCUUUAAAACUCAAUUGUGAUAGAUGGCAGAUGAUUUGAGAGAAGUAAAAAAUGUCAUAAUGACCAAUAAUCUGAUACAAAAUCAAGAUAAUCAGCAACAAAAUGGAAGAUCGAUUUAUUCUUCUUUUGAGCUACCAUUGAGAACAGUGAAAGAUAUUGAAGAAGCUGUGGAACAGUUUUUAGAAAUUGAAGAUAACUUUAAAUACUACAGAAACAUGUACAGUAGGAGGCACUUUUCCUUACAAUUUUAUACAACGAAAUUUGUGCCGUUUGGUUAGCAAUAAACUUGCACAACAUUAUAACUGGAUAGGUGCAAAAUAUAAAAGGAAAUUUUGUAAUCUUCGAAUUGCCAACAUGU
Molecule: long non-coding RNA, 1590 nt
Organism: Pseudomyrmex gracilis
Lineage: Eukaryota; Metazoa; Arthropoda; Insecta; Hymenoptera; Formicidae
Exons: 7
Source: RefSeq, a predicted model, not a curated record